Long non-coding RNA from Prosopis cineraria, 423 nucleotides. RefSeq lists it as uncharacterized. The transcript is spliced from 2 exons. The record is from RefSeq and is a predicted model, not a curated record. Lineage: Eukaryota; Viridiplantae; Streptophyta; Magnoliopsida; Fabales; Fabaceae.
GGAAGAAUCAUGACCCAAAGCGAAGCAUGUGCGCGCAAGUAAGGAUUGUCAUCACUGUGGCUAAUACUGCUUGUGCCAUGGCGCAUGUACCAAAAAAUGACCUUGUCCAGGCGAAGGAUCCAGUGGUGGACGGGGAAAGGAGCAAAGCUAGGGGUUUGCUUGUGAUUUGUAAAGAACUGCAACCCCUUUCUUUUGAGCAAAUAUAUUGUAAUGUAUUUAAGAUUAGGGUGCCAGUAGAUAUGAUUAUGUGUGUGUGUGUGAAUAUGUGUGGAUUGUGUGCUUGUGUAUGAAUUUUUGUCUGUUUGCAGAAUUGUGGCUAGGAAACUUGGUUAUGGUGUGUGGUUUUGAUGGAUUUACUUAGUAGACCAAGUUUCUAUUACAAGCAGAUCUUUAUUUUGAUAUAUAUGUGAUUUUAUAAGCAAA